UUCCCCUUUCUUUCAGUAUCUAUGCCAAAUUUGACAGAAAUUACGCUUGGCGGACUACUUUAUUUCAUCACUAGAUUACAGGGGAAAAAAACAGCUCCUCUCUUCAAUGCAUUCAGCGCAUUUGAAAGUUAAUUUUAUAUUAACAAUUAGAAGGUGUUUCAGGAAAUGGAAACAUUCCAAAGAAUGACGAUGGUGUAACCGUUUCAGCGAAUUCGAUAGAGAACCUAUCAUUGCCUUAAAGGAAGCGGAUUGGUCAUACUGACGAAUAUCCCAGUAUAGAGUGAUGCCAUUAUGAAGAUCUGAAGAUGCUACUAAUGGUUUCAGCAGGGCAUCGAUAAACAUUAAGAAGGGAAUGGAAAGCCUAGAAUGAGUUGCCCGGAGGAGAGUCAAGACUGAAUCUAGAAUGAAUUGUCAUAAAUACCAUAUAUAAAGUUUCCUUGCCUGUCAUUUAGAACUAUUGUAUUCACAUUUACAGGAACGUGUAUUAUAAUAAAACACUGCUGUAAAA
This is a long non-coding RNA of Stegodyphus dumicola, 508 nucleotides long. The record is from RefSeq and is a predicted model, not a curated record. NCBI's taxonomy places the organism in Eukaryota, Metazoa, Arthropoda, Arachnida, Araneae, Eresidae.